AGAGACGCGGUCAACCCAGCCACGAUACGAGCCAAAGCAUUCUUCGCUCCAAGCCUGGUUCUGGCUGUUAGUUUGGAACUCACACACGCAGAUGCUAACUCGCCCUCAGAAUGCAGAGAGGAUGAAACACUGACCGGACAGUUCAAUCUGUAUAUGGGUGAGUCCAGGGCUUAGUCUGCAUUGCGCUGAAAAUGAAGGUGAAGGUGGAGGUGGGACCUGAUAGUCUCGUCCCGAAUCGGGUUGAAGAAGCGGAAGGAAAGGAAUCAAAAUCGUGGAUGGGAUGAGAUUGUGCGCGGAUGCUCUCUGGGAGCGGUUCGUGGGCGACGAGGGCCCGAAGAUGCUGCCUUGUGAUCGCAGGAGAUAAACUGGAGGGGAAGACGAACGGCAGGAGGGUGAAGAGGAAGCUGAAUGACCGUGCAAACACCCCCAACACAAAUCCGGGUGGUUACCGCAGAGUGAAUAACGAUAGGUACGAUUUCGUGGAAGGCAACGUCCUUUGAAAGGGCUCCCAGAGCUUCCAGGCCCCCUCCCCUGAUGAACGAGUGAAUCAGGCAGGCCCAGCUCCACUUCACGGAUGGCAAAACUGAGGUACGAGGCGGCGAGAUGACUGGCCCAAGGCCUCGCUGAAAGAUCCGAGGCGGAGCGGAGAACCAGAAGCACCUCUUCUCUCAGGCUCAUGCUCUAAUCUGGGCUCCCCCCCGCCCCUGCGAUGGCGUAGACGGCCUCCGCCCCCCCGACUCACACACACACACCCUCCCCCGGGAACGGCAAGUCUCCUCGGGUUCCAAGGACGGGGUCAAAAGACAAGAGGCCCCAGGCGCUCCCGCGGUGAUUUGCGCAGAGCGUUGGGAGCGUGCGUGCCUCCAGUCCAACGUGGCGGCGGCAGCGGCCGCCCGCCCACCCCAAGCCUCCUUAAGGGCCGGAGGCUUCUCCUCAGGGUCCUCGGGUAGGUGGGAAGACAGAGCAGCCCCGCCAGGCCUUUCUUGUCGCUGCCGCUGCUCACUGAAGGAGUCACCUACCCGACAAGACUAACGGCUGCGGCUGCGGCUGCGGCGCGGAGGCCCCACAGCCCGCCGAGAACCAGGAAUACGAGAGCCAGGCGGCACCGCGGCCGGAGCUGUACUGAGCAAGAAAGAAGAUUUAAAAGUAAUGUAUUGUUAUGAGAUCCGUGCUUUUAUCUUGUCUCAGACUCCCAAUGAUAGGCAUAUAUCUCCUCUGUACAUUUAAUGAAGCUACUAAAAUAUUUCGAUUUAAAUCUUCCACCUAUUUGUUUUCUGUGUAUCCUACCUGUUCACGACCUUGACAUUUUCAAACAAUACAGGUUACUUAUUUUGUUUUUGGUGAUGGUGAGUUUUGGGGGGUUUUGUUUUUUGGUUUUAGUUUUGGAGACAGGGCUUUGCUCUAUCGCCCAGGCUGGAAUACAAUGGCGCGAUGAUAGCUCACUGCAGCCUCCAACUCCUGAGCUCAAGGGACCCUCUUGCUUCAGCCUCCUGAGUAGCUGGGACUACAGGCCUGCGCCAUCACGCCUGGCUAAUUUUUUAUUUUUUGUAGAUGGGGUGUUGCUAUGUUGUCCAGUGUGGUCUCAAACUCUUGGGCUCAAGAGAUCCUCUCACUUCUGCUGCCCCAAGUGCUAGGAGUACAGGCACGAGCCACGGCGCCUGGAUAGUUAUUUUGUAGAGUGUUGUUUAAUUUGGAUGUACCUCAUCUUUUAUACAUCUUUGGAAGGAAUACCACAUAAUUAAUGCGGUUUAUCCCAUCAAGAGACACACAGUGUCAAUGUGUUCCAUUCUUGGUGAUGUUAACUUUUAUUACUUAGUGAAAAUUCUAAGCGUUUUCACCACUGUAGAGUGAAUAAAUGAAUAUGUGAGAUUCAUCAAUGAAUAAGUAAAAAGAAGCCAGCUGGCGAAAGAACUGAGUUGAGAGGAUGGCUUAAGCCUGGGAGGUCGAGGCUGCAGUGAGCUGUGAUGGCACUACUGCACUCCAGCCUGGGUGACACUGCAAGACCCUGUCUCAAAAAAAAAUUAAAUAAGUAAAUAAAUACCCAGCACCUGAUCAUCUCGGGAAUUUCCUGUGCCUCUUUCUUAUAUUGGGUCACUGGUUUCUUGGAGCUUAUGUCUUUCUUUUUCUUUUUUCUUGGUUUAGCUUCUCAUUUUUGUAAAAAACACAUUCUUAUUUUGUUUACCACUUUGAUAAAGGUGAAUUUGGGAUAAAACUUUUGGAUCCUUAUAAGCUUAACAGUGUCUGAAUUCUACCU
Molecule: long non-coding RNA, 2254 nt
Organism: Piliocolobus tephrosceles (Ugandan red Colobus)
Lineage: Eukaryota; Metazoa; Chordata; Mammalia; Primates; Cercopithecidae
Exons: 2
Source: RefSeq, a predicted model, not a curated record